CCUACGGGAGGCAGCAGUAAGGAAUAUUGGACAAUGGUCGCAAGACUGAUCCAGCCAUGCCGCGUGAAGGAUGACGGCCCUAUGGGUUGUAAACUUCUUUUGUACGGGAAAAAACCCCUCUACGUGUAGAGGGCUGAUUGUACUGUAAGAAUAAGGAUCGGCUAACUCCGUGCCAGCAGCCGCGGUAAUACGGAGGAUCCAAGCGUUAUCCUGAUUUAUUGGGUUUAAAGGGUGCGUAGGCGGAAUUGUAAGUCAGUGGUGAAAGCCUGCAGCUUAACUGCAGAACUGCCAUUGAUACUGCAAAUCUUGAGUACAUUUGAUGUGGGCGGAAUGUGUCAUGUAGCGGUGAAAUGCUUAGAUAUGACACAGAACACCGAUUGCGAAGGCAGCUCACAAAACUGUAACUGACGCUGAGGCACGAAAGCGUGGGUAUCAAACAGGAUUAGAUACCCUUGUAGUC
This 460-nucleotide ribosomal RNA is filed under the name uncultured bacterium. RNAcentral's name for it is "bacterial SSU rRNA". It matches the Rfam family "Bacterial small subunit ribosomal RNA", at positions 338 to 795 of the family's 1533-position model. The record is from RNAcentral.